Macadamia integrifolia is the source of this 1393-nucleotide long non-coding RNA. RefSeq lists it as uncharacterized. NCBI's taxonomy places the organism in Eukaryota, Viridiplantae, Streptophyta, Magnoliopsida, Proteales, Proteaceae. The transcript has 2 exons. The record is from RefSeq and is a predicted model, not a curated record.
UCUGCUCGUUUCAUUAUAUUGUAUUUCUAACCUUCACUUGAGUGGUUACAAUUCUUUGUUCUUUACGUUUGAAUUAGUAUGAAAGGGUAUAAUCACUUCUCAUUAUAUAUUUUUAUUUGGAUCCAUAGACAAUUAGGAAAGGAAACUCAAUAUGAAUAUUAAUAGAUUUAUAUACAUUCCUAGCUUUUGCUUGCUCUUCCCCCCUCUUUAAUAGAUGACACAUGCUUUGAAUAGAGUUGAUUGGUGAAAGAGGAUCCAUUUUAGCCGACCCCACUUAGUUGGGAUAAGGCUGAGUUGAGAUGAGGACUGAGAAAAACAAUCAGGAGCCAUUAAAUUAUAACAUAGACAUGCCUUAACCAUUUUCCGGUUGUGUUCAUUUUGGAGACUUGCUUGCUUAUGAUGCUUCUUAUAUUCUUAUUCCUUGAGAAACAGAAGAAAAUGAGGGGGGAGGGAUUAAUAGAAAGACUGUUGCAGGGAAAAAUAAUGCAUUUACAAGAAAGGAAAUAUAAAUACAGUUUAAUUUCUGACAUAGCUACCAUAUAUGUGUGUGCGUUUUUAUGCCAAAUUUAUAGGAUUGCCAUAUAUGUAUGCACGUUUUUAUGCCAAAUUUAUAGGAUUACUAUCAGUAAGCUCUUAUCUGUGUCACACGCUGCUAUAUGUAUCAUGUACGUCUUCUUGUUAAAAUUACAUAGAGGGGGAUAAGAGAAGUGGAUGAAGAAAUAUGAUUGUAUCAUGGCAGAGGAGUUUAUUGUCGUAUCAGUUUUUUUUUUUCUGUAUUGUUCAGUUAUUAUUUGGAGUAAUAAGAGUGAUGGAAACUUUGGGAAAGAAAUGAUCUUGUUGGUGCUUCGCAGGGGGGGGGGGAAUGAAAAUUGUCUUUGUCUUAUCACCAAAGAUAGAUAAAUAAUUGCUUAAGGAGAAGUCAUACAACUAAGAUUCUUAGAGUAUUCACCUGUACUGCAGCAUCUUGCAUGUUGUAUUAGGCAUGCUUGAGUUCGUUGUACCCUUUUAGGUUAUCCUAUUGUAGUUUAGGUUAUGUUUCUGUGCCAUUUUUUGUGCUCCUGCAUGUACCGAUUAUACCUCUACUCAUCUUUUGAGUAUUUUAUCUAUAUGCAGGCAUUUGAGGAAGCUAUAGCUGAGCUGGACACAUUGGGUGAAGAGUCAUACAAGGACAGCACUCUCAUCAUGCAACUCCUGAGGGACAAUCUCACCCUCUGGACUUCGGAUGUGGAGCAGCUCGACGAAGCAUAGAUGAUAGGUCAUUCAUCUUCAGAAGGGAGGUGGGCUUGAAUGUUAUUUUCUGUAUUCUGCAUAUAUGACCAAUCAAUGUAUCCUGUACGUUCAGCGAAAAACAACCCAUGCUGUUUCUGAUAAUUAAACUAGAUUUGCUUCGAAA